CCUACGGGGGGCAGCAGUGGGGAAUAUUGGGCAAUGGGCGCAAGCCUGACCCAGCAACGCCGCGUGAAGGAAGAAGGCUUUCGGGUUGUAAACUUCUUUUGUCAGGGAAGAGUAGAACACGGUACCUGACGAAUAAGCCACGGCUAACUACGUGACAGCAGCCGCGGCAAUACGGAGGGCGCGAGUGUUGUCCGGAAUUACUGGGUGUAAAGGGAGCGUAGGCGGGACUGCAAGUUGGGGGUAAAAUCUACCGGCUCAACCGGUAGCCGAACUUAAAACUGGAGUUCUUGAGAGAAGUAGAGGCAGGCGGAAUGAGUAGUGUAGCGGUGAAAUGCGUAGAUAUUAGGAGGAACACCAGUGGCGAAGGCGGCCUGCUGGGC
This 380-nucleotide ribosomal RNA is filed under the name uncultured bacterium. RNAcentral's name for it is "partial 16S ribosomal RNA". It matches the Rfam family "Bacterial small subunit ribosomal RNA", at positions 338 to 734 of the family's 1533-position model. The record is from RNAcentral.